This 484-nucleotide ribosomal RNA is filed under the name uncultured bacterium. Its description in RNAcentral is "partial 16S ribosomal RNA". It matches the Rfam family "Bacterial small subunit ribosomal RNA", at positions 30 to 507 of the family's 1533-position model. The record is from RNAcentral.
AUUGAACGCUGGCGGCAGGCCUAACACAUGCAAGUCGAGCGGAUGAAGGGAGCUUGCUCCUGGAUUCAGCGGCGGACGGGUGAGUAAUGCCUAGGAAUCUGCCUGGUAGUGGGGGAUAACGUCCGGAAACGGGCGCUAAUACCGCAUACGUCCUGAGGGAGAAAGUGGGGGAUCUUCGGACCUCACGCUAUCAGAUGAGCCUAGGUCGGAUUAGCUAGUUGGUGGGGUAAAGGCCUACCAAGGCGACGAUCCGUAACUGGUCUGAGAGGAUGAUCAGUCACACUGGAGCUGAGACACGCUCCAGACUCCUACGGGAGGCAGCAGUGGGGAAUAUUGGACAAUGGGUGAAAGCCUGAUCCAGCCAUGCCGCGUGUGUGAAGAAGGUCUUCGGAUUGUAAAGCACUUUAAGUUGGGAGGAAGGGCAGUAAGUUAAUACCUUGCUGUUUUGACGUUACCAACAGAAUAAGCACCGGCUAACUUCGUG